Molecule: ribosomal RNA, 387 nt
Filed under: Triticum aestivum (bread wheat)
Lineage: Eukaryota; Viridiplantae; Streptophyta; Magnoliopsida; Poales; Poaceae
Description: partial small subunit ribosomal RNA
Source: RNAcentral
AUGUGGAAUGACGAGCCCACAAUCCAUGUACAUACUGCUUCCUUCUACGUUAUCUUAGCUAGUGUAGUUCAUGUAACUUUUGGUAGAGAUUUUGGGCUUGUAUGCAUCUGCGGUGAUCCUUAUCAUAGGCAGACAGAUGUUAUAUGGGAUUAAGUUGCAAAUUUUGUGUAUGAUAAUCCUGGUAAACCGAUGUUAUGUAUGGGUGAUCUAAACGAACUUCUGUAUGAUAUCGACAAAAGCAAUGCUAAUAUUUAUCGUUGUCGUAUGCUUGCUUUUCGUGCUCUCAUAAAAAAUUGUGGUCUUUUUGAUUUAGUGGGCCUACUUACACUUGGACUAGCAGGAAAUUCUCUUCCUCCCCUACUUAUGAGAGAUUGGAUAGAGGCUUAG